GUGAAUCAUCGAAUUUUUGAACGCAAAUUGCACUCUCUUCGGAGAGUAUGACUAUUUGUGGGUCAGCCUAUAAAAAAUCGACAUCGUUGCUGUUUCUCGGUUGCGUUCGUCGGAAAUUGGGUUAUCUUAUCUUAUUUUGGUUUAAGUGACUUAAAAUUUUCUUUUUGGUUUCAUGAAUGUUUAUAUGAUUUAUGUCUUUAUACGUUUACGUUUUCGUUUUUUAUUUGACGU
Molecule: unclassified non-coding RNA, 231 nt
Filed under: Glomeraceae sp.
Lineage: Eukaryota; Fungi; Glomeromycota; Glomeromycetes; Glomerales; Glomeraceae
Description: partial contains 5.8S ribosomal RNA and internal transcribed spacer 2
Rfam family: 5.8S ribosomal RNA (bases 1-65)
Source: RNAcentral